This is a long non-coding RNA of Mus musculus (house mouse), 1117 nucleotides long. RefSeq annotates it as RIKEN cDNA 4930543N07 gene. The record is from RefSeq and is marked validated. Lineage: Eukaryota; Metazoa; Chordata; Mammalia; Rodentia; Muridae. The transcript has 5 exons.
GAGGCAGUCAUCUUGGCACCUCAGGAUACAGCAGAAGAAUCAACAAUAGUCUCAUUGGCAGGAGCAGAGAGGAUAAACCACUGUUCUACUCUUUGAUACCUCAUUCCCUAACAAAGAAGCAGCAGGUUGUGGUUUCUGAGAGCCCAGGCUACGUAGAUGGGAAUGGAAGAAUGAGAAGGGAGCCAGGGCCAAGGUGGGGACUGUGUCCAGCAUAUGAAGUGCUCUUCUCUGCAGCCAUCCCUACUGCAAGGAGGAGUCUGACUGACUUCAGUAAUCAGCCUUCAAAUGGUGUGUGUUGUACAUAGACAGGAAAGUCUUUGUGGAAGCCGUUACUCAGACUGCACAGGGGGCAUGCUGCUUGGAGAUUCAGUGGUGAUCUUGCUGCUGGGACUCUGGAAGCUGGAGCACGUGUUGGAAGUAGAAGAAGACACAGGCCUGGAGAGACCUCUACGGAACGGGUAGCACUGAGUGCAGUGACGCGGUAGCUUGAGAGGUGAGGUUCUGGAGGAAACAGCCCCAGCUCCACUCUCCUGCACCCCCUCUCCCAGGGUGACUAUAUCGUCUUGUGCCCUGGAGUCUGUCCACAUGUGCAGGAGAUACAUGUCACAUCUUCUCUGAGCUCUGCACAGCUUCUCACAGAUCUACCUCAAAAUGUCCUGGAGACACACAACUGAAGUGCCAAAGGAAACCUUCUGAACCAUCUUCCUCCAUUACUUGCUAUCCAUUUCACAUGAAAUGGUGUUGGAGUGCCUAUCUUGGCUGCUCAGAGAAACAGGUGUUACAGUGAACACCUGCAUUUUAAGAAGCAUCUACAAGGAUGAUGGAAUAUUAUUUCCUAAAAGAUCCAUAAAGCCAUCUGCUGUGGAGAAGACCCAUGAAAGAACCUGCAGUGCGAUGGAGCUGUGCCUGUUGUGACUCCAAGAAGAUUCACACGAGGACCUAGAGGAUAAAAUGAGAUGGGACCUGCAUAUCUCCUUUUGGUGCCUUUCCUCUUACAGAAGGACCUUGUCUAUAGAGAGGGAUGGUGACACUCAGGCGUGGACCCACUGCAGUCAGGCAGCAAGUAUAUUGUAUUAGUUUUACCUAUGUUGCUGUGAUAAACUACCCUGACAGAAGC